UGGGGAAUAUUGCACAAUGGGGGAAACCCUGAUGCAGCGACGCCGCGUGAGCGAAGAAGGUUUUCGAAUCGUAAAGCUCUGUCCUAUGGGAAGAUAAUGACGGUACCAUAGGAGGAAGCCCCGGCUAACUACGUGCCAGCAGCCGCGGUAAUACGUAGGGGGCAAGCGUUGUCCGGAAUCACUGGGCGUAAAGGGUUCGCAGGCGGAAAUGCAAGUCAGUUGUGAAAGGCAGAGGCUCAACCUCUGUAAGCAAUUGAAACUGUAUUUCUUGAGAUGUGGAGAGGCAAGUGGAAUUCCUAGUGUAGCGGUGAAAUGCGUAGAUAUUAGGAAGAAUACCGGUGGCGAAGGCGACUUGAUGGACACAAACUGACGCUGAGGAACGAAAGCGUGGGUAGCAAACAGG
This 403-nucleotide ribosomal RNA is filed under the name Fusobacteriota bacterium. RNAcentral's name for it is "Fusobacteria bacterium partial 16S ribosomal RNA". It matches the Rfam family "Bacterial small subunit ribosomal RNA", at positions 355 to 776 of the family's 1533-position model. The record is from RNAcentral. Lineage: Bacteria; Fusobacteriati; Fusobacteriota.